CUCUACAUGUUAAAAAAAUUACAAUUAAAUAUCAGUAGUCCGUCGCACGUCGGUCGCAUAAAGAUGACGCAAUACGGAAACGUAAUGUAAACAAACAAAAAAAAAAAUUGUAUUCUUCUUUUAUGGUGUCUGUCGACGGUUGGCAAACAACAUCAGGGUGCAUUACCGCCACCCACUGACAUGUGUGGACCUCACAAUGACUCCUUAGGAUAUUAUUGGUACAACUUUGUCGAAUUGUUUUAUUAUGUAUAUGAAUAAUACUGUCACUGCUCACGAUUAAAGACAUGUUUAAAUAUCUCUACACACAAUAAAAUAUUUCCUUUAUUAAAUGUGGGUUACUGUACAGGAAGAAAUCAACUUUUUGUCAAGGUUUAGAAAUGUAUAUAUAUUUACUUCGUACAUCUAUAUUCAAAGGCUGCACCAGUCGUUUAAUUUCCCGUUGACAGUGAAAGCACCACGCGUCCUCUGUCCAAUCACUAUGACCCAUUUUGCUAAAGCACUUUUUUGAACCCAAGGCGCCUUUGUGCUCGGCUGCGGUUCCUCUACGCAAGCUAUCACUGUAAAGAAAGAGAAUUGUACAAUUGUUAACAGACAUGGAUUUUAGUAAUGCAUUGCAAAAGAACGGUCUUCGAUACAAAAAGGCCCUGGACCGAAUCAUAGAUAAGUAUUCGAAGCUUCAGUAUCACAACGGGGGCAUAGAGGUGGACCUCGAAAAUACAAAUACCGCAACAAUUGGUCGCUACAUGGAGAUGGCAGAACUCGAGCUGAGCAAGUUGGAGUCAAAGAGCUCCGCAGAUUCGAGAGAUGAGUCAUUAAGAUCACAAGACACUACAAGAGAUUCCCAGUUGGACUUCACAUUUCAAAGUACUGAAUUUCAUGAUACUCCUGCAUCAACCAGACAAUUGUUUGGAGAGGAUGAUGGAAUGGCUGGAAGUGAGCCAACCCAGCUGACUGUGAGCCUACUGCAUGAAAGUGGGGGAAGCUUUUCAGAGACGGAGAUUCAACCUGAAGACCAAGACGAGGAACUGCAAAUGACACUGAGAAGUCAUAACACUUUGGGGGACCUCUACCCCAGCAUGAUCAGUCGAAUAGAAACGGCCUGGCAUCGAAAUAAUGUGUCUCAGGCUGCUGACGCUGUGCUGACCAAGUACCGCAAAUGGCGAAAGCAUUCAAGAAGCAAUAUCAGCAUCAACACUUCAAUUGUUUCACUGCAGCAUAGCAAGGAAAGGCAGAUGACCAGCAGCAUUCUGCUCCCGGAAGACCUCCCAGAAAGAGGGCAGUACACAAGGGCUGAAUAUUUGCCACGGUCUCCUUUGAAGAUGGUACAUAAGCUGCAGGACAGGAUGGCACAACAGCAGUUGCCUGGAGAACAGUCCUAUUCCUAUCAUGGGAGUCCUUCACGGCCUUGCUAUCCCACUGCAAACGCAGCCUUGCAGAGUUCUCUUUGGAAUAAAAGGCUUUCCCUGUCUGCACACAAACAGCAGGCUGCUGAAGGCUCUGUGUUUGCAUCAGAAAACAAUGCUGUUAAUGACAGACAUGUCUAUAGCUCCCCAGUCAGACAAAGUCCAUCGAAGAUGAGGAUGUUGACCAGCUUCAGUGGUUCACCUAGAUCCUUUUACAGAAGCCCCAAAGAAUCACGUAGAGAAAGCUUUUCAAGAGAGACUGCACAGUCUUCAUCAGUGUCAACAUUUCUGUCCUCCCCUUUGCAAAAACCUACUGGGAACAGGAUACUCUACCCUCAACACUCCAACCACACUCUCCAGCUGCCUUCACUUCAGUCAGCUAGUCCAGAAGGUCGUGUCAGGCUCCGAAGGCAUCUUUUCUGCGAUUCAUCCCAGCCAGUACUCAGUACUUCCCACUCACCAAAGCAGAUCGAUGAAGACUUUAAAAAACUGUACCACAAGUUUGUAUGUCAGAACAAGUCUUUCUAUAAUAUCCCUCCCUGUCGUCUCUGUGCUGAACGCUCUAGAGCCAACCAAAGUCACUCGUCCUCGGUGCUGGCUGCACUGGCCUUGUCACCUCACCGCUCUGUCUUGAGGAAGCGCCAAAGAGAGUCAGGCUCGGACAGCCGCCCCCACUCUAAGCGCUCCAGGGAAGAGUAUUAUACAUACUCCCCAGGCUCCAAACGUCGUGAGAAUGAAGUGCUGGGGCACUGUCUUCCUUCAUCUCAGCUUGAGCAUCAUCAUGACCGUAAACGCAGUGUGUUUCAAAAUGUCGGUACCCAGCACCACUCAGCAGAUGCCAGGAGGAUUCAAGGUCUGACUUUGUCUGGCUACGGUAUGUGAGUGUAGAGCAGCACACAGCUACUGCCACAG
This is a long non-coding RNA of Betta splendens (Siamese fighting fish), 2315 nucleotides long. Ensembl lists it as uncharacterized. Lineage: Eukaryota; Metazoa; Chordata; Actinopteri; Anabantiformes; Osphronemidae. The record is from Ensembl.